Molecule: ribosomal RNA, 505 nt
Filed under: uncultured bacterium
Lineage: Bacteria
Description: partial 16S ribosomal RNA
Rfam family: Bacterial small subunit ribosomal RNA
Source: RNAcentral
GACGAACGCUGGCGGCGUGCCUAAUACAUGCAAGUAGAACGCACAGUUUAUACCGUAGCUUGCUACACCAUAAACUGUGAGUUGCGAACGGGUGAGUAACGCGUAGGUAACCUGCCUGGUAGCGGGGGAUAACUAUUGGAAACGAUAGCUAAUACCGCAUAAUAUUGAUUAUUGCAUGAUAAUUGAUUGAAAGAUGCUAUUGCAUCACUACCAGAUGGACCUGCGUUGUAUUAGCUAGUAGGUGAGGUAACGGCUCACCUAGGCGACGAUACAUAGCCGACCUGAGAGGGUGAUCGGCCACACUGGGAAUGAGACACGGCCCAGACUCCUACGGGAGGCAGCAGUAGGGAAUCUUCGGCAAUGGACGAAAGUCUGACCGAGCAACGCCGCGUGAGUGAAGAAGGUUUUCGGAUCGUAAAGCUCUGUUGUAAGAGAAGAACGGGUGUGAGAGUGGAAAGUUCACACUGUGACGGUAUCUUACCAGAAAGGGACGGCUAACUACGUG